ACCUCGUAGAUCAAGUUCUCUGUCUUUCAGUGCAUUUGUAAACUGCGCUGACUGCAGAAUGAGAUCAGCUGUAAGCUUCAUAGUAUCUGAAUGGUGUUGGCACUAUGUUUUCACCACACAACUAGCAAUUGUUCACCAAAUAAUCCUUCUCCAAAUACUAGAAAUAAAUGAUUUUUUGACAAAUUUUUGCCACUAGCUUUGUGAUUUUUGCUCCAAAACGUUUAUGUUUUACACAUGUCCUUGUUCUGCGC
Paramuricea clavata is the source of this 251-nucleotide non-coding RNA. Lineage: Eukaryota; Metazoa; Cnidaria; Anthozoa; Malacalcyonacea; Plexauridae. The record is from the annotation of a GenBank genome assembly.